Non-coding RNA from Stegodyphus mimosarum, 73 nucleotides. Lineage: Eukaryota; Metazoa; Arthropoda; Arachnida; Araneae; Eresidae. The record is from Rfam.
GCCUUCGUGGUGCAGUGGUCAGCACGUUGGGUACGUAUUUCAGAAGUCCAUGGUUCAAGUCCAGGCUAGGGCA